This 85-nucleotide transfer RNA is filed under the name pig gut metagenome. It matches the Rfam family "tRNA". From Rfam's summary of the family: Transfer RNA (tRNA) molecules are approximately 80 nucleotides in length. The record is from RNAcentral.
GAGAAAUACCCAAGCGGUUGAAGGGGUCGGUCUUGAAAACCGAUAGUGGCGAGUAACCAGCGAGGGUUCGAAUCCCUCUUUCUCC